RNAcentral lists this ribosomal RNA (253 nucleotides) under uncultured bacterium. Its description in RNAcentral is "partial 16S ribosomal RNA". It matches the Rfam family "Bacterial small subunit ribosomal RNA", at positions 524 to 776 of the family's 1533-position model. The record is from RNAcentral.
UACGUAGGGUGCGAGCGUUGUCCGGAAUUAUUGGGCGUAAAGAGCUCGUAGGCGGCGUGUCACGUCGGAUGCGAAAGCCCAUGGCUUAACUGUGGGUCUGCAUUCGAUACGGGCAGGCUGGAGUUCGGUAGGGGAGAUCGGAAUUCCUGGUGUAGCGGUGAAAUGCGCAGAUAUCAGGAGGAACACCGGUGGCGAAGGCGGAUCUCUGGGCCGAUACUGACGCUGAGGCGCGAAAGCCAGGGGAGCAAACGGG